CCACUGUACGCUAGGUUGCUAGGAGACUGGACAGCCAAAGAAACAAUGCCCUUUCCUGUGACCACUAUCAAGAACUGCUCAGGAUUCCUGCCAGCCUGCUAGCCUUUAUCGUUCAGUCAUUUUAGACCUCAAAAAGAACAUUCCAUCAAGGGAUCAGGUUCUAUCAUCUCACUGGAAUGCAAUGUAAGACCCCAGAAACUCUAGUACAAAGAAAUUUACUAUGGCUCAGAUUAAUAAUAGAUAGCACUUGAAUGUGUGCCCCAGUUGUGUUCCCUCUCUGCUAAGGAUAGGACAAAUGAAAAUAAAUUGCAAAUUCAGCAGGGAGAUUCAGACCAAACAUAAGGAAGAACUUCUGCCAUUAAGGUCAUAGAAGUUGUGAAGUUUGCCCCUUGGGAAGAGUUGUUAAGAUUAGCCUGAAAGAGCAUAUUUGAAGGAUGAAGAUGCAGCCCUCACUGGCAAUGGAGGACAAGGUGAUAUGAUUUCCUAGGCUUUCUUCAAGACCCAAGAUUCUCCUAGUUGUGGAAAAGUGACUCUGUGCAUUACUCACCACUAUUAAGAUUGUUAUUCAUGAUCAGGCCUGAGUGAAAGCCAGGCUACUCUUACAUAACAAAGGCAGAUUCUCAGUGUUGGAAGAUAACUGAGGAGCCAUUCAUUUCAUCCCUCUUCUUUCACCAGUGAAAAAUCAGAGACACAGAGCAUUCAUUGCCACAUGGCCAGCAGAAGAGCUGGGCCUAGGACCAGGACCCCUCAGGCUCCCUGUGCUGUGUGCUGUACUACACCACGUUUUCACUAAUAAUAUAGGAAGCCAGUUGAGUUGUUCCUCAUGCUUUCCCCACGAAGCUGCAUCUGAAGGACUUCCUCACCCCCCCGCUGUGACCACAAGUUAUGCCUCACAGAUUCAUUUCCUUAUGAAUGACUUCAGGAAGCCAGCAUUUUUAAUAAAUAGGAAGUAAAUUAUAUUUAAUGACUAAAUUCUCACCUAAAGUUGAUACUAAUAUUACGAUAACUCUCUUGUGCCCUAUUUUGGUCUUUUAAACUUCUUUGCUGUACAUUUCAGAAAAUCAGAAUUUCAGUAGACUCCUCGUGCAGUCUGAGAAGGCAAUUUCCUACCUGGUUUGACUUAAGGGGCUGCAGAAAACAUUCUUAUCCCACAUAUUUCUUCUGCUGAUCAGUCAGCAACUGAAAUUCCAACUAAUGGAUUCCAUUCUUCCAGUUAAGACAUCAUCUCCAGAAAACUGUGCUAGUUGGCAUCCAGCAGUGCCCAAGUAUUAUUUAACCCAUUAGAACCUGUGACUGCAUCAGCUUUAUAUCCUGGACCUCAGCCUGGAGCAAAGGAGAGCUACACUUGGAUACUAAACACAAGUGGUCUGGAUAGAUUACGCUGGGGAAAGAAGCCUGGAGUGGGCAGUACAGUGGGAGAACAAGGAGAGAAUGGAGUUGCAGCAGACUGCUCAGGAAUUGUACAUCACCAGUAGCUUCUGUCUCAGCUAAGUGUGGGAGACUGAUACUGAUGAGCCAUUAACAAUGGUGGAGAUUCUGAAUCACUGAAGCACUUGAUAAAAGAAAUGUCGUGGGUGAUGUGAAAAUCUACAUAUGCCCAUGAGAGUAUAUUGAGUUUGUAAGUGUUGUUGCUUAGUGUGUCACAGAGAAGUUUAUGAGAAACUAUUUUGGAGUAAGAAACAACACAGAAGAACACAGUUUCAGCCUGAAAUGGCUUAUUUAGCCACUGACCAUCAGAAACAAUUACUUUUUCCUUAACCUAGAUUUGUAAUAGCAGGAUGCAUUGAAUUCCUUCAUUGAAGUGAAACCUUAGCAAAUCUUUAAGUAGUACUCUAAAGUGACAAAAGGUGUUUACAUUUACUAAUGUAAAUUUCUUGUGGAGAUAAAGUUUUUAUUCUUCUUGAGUCACAAGACUGCUCAAGAGGGAACCAUCGUUUUUUCUACACUGCUCUGUUCUAAAUGUUUGUUCCCCCAAUAUUCAUAUGUUGAAAUUCUAACCCCCAAGGAGAUAGUAUUAGGAGGUGGGGCCUUCGGGACAUGAUAAGGUCAUGAGGAUGAAGCCCUCAAGAAUAAGAUUCAUUGCCUUAUAAAGAAAAACCAGAAAGAUCCCUCAUUUCUUCAAUCAUAAGAAGACACAUGAGCAAGAAGACGGCCAGCUAUGAAGCAGGUCGUGGGCCCUCGCCAGACACGGAAUCUGCCAACACUUUGAUCUUGGAUUUCCUAGCCUGCAGAACUGUGAGAAAUAAAUUUCUUUUCUUUAUAAUCCA
Gorilla gorilla gorilla (western lowland gorilla) is the source of this 2267-nucleotide long non-coding RNA. RefSeq lists it as uncharacterized. Lineage: Eukaryota; Metazoa; Chordata; Mammalia; Primates; Hominidae. The transcript is spliced from 3 exons. The record is from RefSeq and is a predicted model, not a curated record.